This 522-nucleotide ribosomal RNA is filed under the name Triticum aestivum (bread wheat). Its description in RNAcentral is "partial small subunit ribosomal RNA". The record is from RNAcentral. Lineage: Eukaryota; Viridiplantae; Streptophyta; Magnoliopsida; Poales; Poaceae.
AUGUCGUCCCUCGCGGUUGGCCGCGGGCUGGGCUUGGAGCUCUGGCUCGGCGGCCUCUUCUCAGCCGCGGAGCUGGCGGCAGCGGAACUGCUCCUGCAGCUCGGCGGGGACGACGAGGUGGCGUCCACGACGUCCUCCUCGCGGCGGUCGGUGAGCUCGUGGAGCAAGGCUGGCCUCACCGCGGAGGAGUGGGUCGUCGAGGAGACGGCGUCGCUUGAGCUGGACAGGAGGGCGAGGAAGAGGUACCGCCGGGUGUCCGACCUCUACACCACGAUACCGGCCAUGGACGCCUCUGCCGCGAAGAAGAGGAGGACGUGCGACGGCGGCGGAGGCGACGAGCCGACGAGGUGUCGAAGUUGCGACACCGAGGAAAUCAUCGAGAUCAUUGUUGGAUGGUGCAAGGUGGAGAUGGUGAAGUUGCGAGCCAUCAUCAAGAUUUCCGGCGAGUUCAUAUACAGUGAAGAUGACUUGCACGUAUAUGGCGAGUUGUGUUGCCGCUGGACAGGAGGUGUCAUACGGUAA